AGUCGUUUGAUUUUAGUCGUUUAGUUUAGUGACUUUGCGGUUGUUUGAUUUUGGAUUUUUAGUUUAGCGACAUUGCGGUCGUUUGAUUUUGGCUAUUUUAGUUUAACAACUUUGCAGUCAUUUGAUUUUGGCUAUUUAGUUUAGCGACUUUACGGUCGUUUGAAUUUGGGUUGUUUAGUUUAAUGACUUUGCGAUCGUUUGAAUUUGGGUUUAGUUUAACGACUUUAUGGUCAUUUGAAUUUGGGUUUAGUUUAGCAAUUUUACGGUCGUUUGAAUUUGGGUGUAGUUUAACGACUUCAUGAUCGUUUGAAUUUAGUUGUUUAGUUUAACGACUCUACAGUCGUAAGUUUUAUUUGUGGACUUUGGGUUUUGGUGUUUUAUUUGUGGAUUUUCGGUUAUGAGUUUUAUUUGUGGACAUUGGGUUUUGGGGUUUUAUUUGUGGACUUUCGGUUUUGGAGUUUUUUUGUGGACUUUCGGUUUUGGGGUUUUAUUUGUGGACUUUGGGUUUUGGCUUUUAUUUGUGGACUUUGGGUUUUAUUUCUUGCCUGAAAUAGACUGGACUUUUACUUAUGUUGGAUUCAGGUCAAGUUGGCUUGAACUUUUUGUAUUUGAUUUGGGUUCGGCGGCCUUAGGUUUUCACUUGGUUUAUCCUUUUCAUGUUUGGUUUUGGUCGACCGUUAUGCUUUGGUUCAGAACCCGUUGUGACUUUAGUUAGGUCGAACCCUUAUGAUGUAGUUCGAGAUCCCUUUAAAUUUAAUUUGGAUCAGGUCCUCUAUGGUUUGGUUCAACAUGGACCCUCUUAUACUUCAAUUAGCUUCGUAUCGAAACUUUAUGAUUUGGUUCGAGACUAAUAUGUAUUUGAUUCGGGUUGAGCUCUUGUGGUUCGCCUUGGCUUGGAACCCUUAUGCAUUUGGUUUGGGCCGAAUCGACUUCUUGCUCUCUCUAAGUUCGAUUUAGAUUGAACUGACUUUGUUUCAAGUUGAAUCCUUCAUGACUUGGUUUAGGUCGAAUCGGCUUGUAGUUCGGUUCAACUUGGCUCAGACCUCCUGUGAUUUAGUUCAGGUUGAAACCACUUUGGUUUAAGUUGAAUCCUUUAUGGUUCGGUUUAGACCGGAUCCACUUCGGUUCAAGUCAAAUCCUUUAUAGUUCGGUUCGGGUUGGAUCCACUUUGGCUCAAGUUGAGUCCUUUAUGGUUUAGUUUAGGUCGGAUCCACUUCGGUUCAAGAUGAAUCCUUUCUGGUUCGGUUCGGACCGGAUCCACUUCGGUUCAAGUCGAAUACUUUAUGGUUUGAUUCGAAUCAAAUCCACUUUGGUUCGAGUUGAAUCCUUUAUGGUUGGGUUCAGACCUAAUCUGGUUCGGUUCGAAUUGAAUCCUUUAUGGUUCGGUUCGGAUUGGAUCCACUUCGGUUCAAGUCGAAUUCUUUAUAGUUCGAUUCGGACAGGAUCACUUCGGUUCAAGCCGAAUCUUUUAUAGCUUGGUUUAGAUCAGAUCCACUUCGGUUCAAGUCAAAUCCUUUAUGGUUCGGUUCGGAUUGGAUCCAUUUUGGUUCGAGUCAAAUCCUUUAUGGUUGGGUUCGGAUCGGAUCCACUUCGAUUCAAGUCGAAUCCUUUGUAGUUCGGUUCGGGUUGGAUCCACUUCAGUUCAAAUCAAAUCUUUUGUGGUUUGGUUCAGGUCAGAUCCAUUUAGGUUCAAGUCGAUUCCUUUGUGGUUCGAUUCGGGUCCAAUCCAUUUGGGUUCAAGUCGAAUCCUUUAUGGUUCAGUUCAAAUCAGAUCCACUUCGGUUCAAGUCGAAUCCUUUAUGGUUCAAUUCAAAUUGAAUCUAAUUAGGUUCAAAUUGAAUCCUUUAUGGUUCAGUUCAAAUCGGAUCCACUUCGGUUCAAGUCGAAUCCUUUAUGGUUCAGUUCAGAUCGGAUCCACUUCGGUUCACGUCGAAUUCUUUAUGGUUCGGUUCAGAUCGGAUCCACUUGUCACGCCCCGGAUUACUCGUUUCCCCGGGCUCGCAAACAGACCCGCCGUAUACCUAGGUAUUUUCCCUGUAUACGAAGCAAAGAAGUAGAAGUACCUGUAAUCAUACAAUACUACAAAAAGUAGUAUAGAGCAACUAGGAAAAUAAACCAUAAAUAUAAACUGCGGUUCAAUACAUACAUGUCAUCAGGGUAUACAAAAACUCGCGCUGGCGAGAUAACAACAACUGUAUGUAAAGACCCAAAAACUACAACUACCUGUAGCUGGUGCUCCUCUAUGAAAGUUUUGAGUAGCCCAAGGAUCUAUCUAGAUUGUAUCUAUCACCUAGAGGGGGGGGUGAAUAGGUGACCGGCCAAAAAACCACAAAUCUCGAUGCAAUAAAAAUAAAUACGGAAAAUAAAAAACACACCGAGAUUUACGUGGGAAAACUCCAAACUCGGAGUAAAAAACCCACGGGACCAACACGCGAUAACAAUCCACUAAGAAUAAAAGAUUACAAGGUGAUUUACCGAAUCCACGGACUCAAACCUCUCUUUUAUCUUCUCCGGAUCUCGCGCACACCAACGGGUUGUCCACGCCCCACGUCCGAAUCCACGAACGUCACGUCCCGAAUCCACGAAACGUCACCACUUCGUAUCCACGAAGCCUCGAUCACGUCGAAUCCACGACGCCCACUCGAAUCCACGAGCUACGAUCCGAAUCCACGAAACCGUCUUCGUUCACGCCAAUCCACGACGCCGUUCAUGAAGAGCAUCAUGUGUAUGGUGAUCCUUCGCUUAGGAGCUAUCGUAGAAAACCAGGGAAUAGAACUCCAAGCGAAGCGAGAUCAAAUCGACAUAUAAUAUCAAAUUUCAAUAUCUCGAUUUGAUCUAAAAGAGGCUUUUUGUAGAAAAUAGGUUUAAGAUGAAAUCCGAGCCUCUAGGUUGUUUCUCAAACAUGUAUUCUUAUGAUGCUUGAUGUGUAUAGAGAAGCCCAAUAGCUUAUUUAUAGACUUAGAAUCAAUUGGAGUCGGAUUAGAAAGUUUCACGAUUCUUAACUGUGUACCGGUACACUUUAGGCUGUCACCGGUUACACAAUGACGGAACGAAAAACCUGACGAAACAGUAAAACCGGUUACACCCUUGAUGGUCGUACCGGUACACAUUUUGUACCGGUACACUUCUGAUGCUGUACCGGUACACUUUGCAAAUUUUCGCCGUUUCGGGUUUUGCAAAGUUCCGAUGCACUUUCUAAUCCGUUAGACAAUGAUAUUAUGAUUCUAAUGUCUAUAACUAAGUAUGAAUCACCAUAAUCAUGAAUUAACACUUUACCUGGACAUCGUGAUUCACGGUGUGAGUUAUUUUCCAACUUCUUCGAAAUCUUGAAUUCUUCGAUCUUCGACAAUCACGCACCGAUUCUUCAAGACUCCGACUCACUUCACGAAACUUGCCAAUACACACGACUUAACACUCUAGCCCUGCGACUCG
Molecule: long non-coding RNA, 3432 nt
Filed under: Ananas comosus (pineapple)
Lineage: Eukaryota; Viridiplantae; Streptophyta; Magnoliopsida; Poales; Bromeliaceae
Description: long non-coding RNA (ACOM_LNC006929)
Source: RNAcentral